Molecule: ribosomal RNA, 468 nt
Filed under: uncultured bacterium
Lineage: Bacteria
Description: partial 16S ribosomal RNA
Rfam family: Bacterial small subunit ribosomal RNA
Source: RNAcentral
GACGAACGCUGGCGGCGUGCUUAACACAUGCAAGUCGAACGGAAAGGCCCUGCUUUUGUGGGGUGCUCGAGUGGCGAACGGGUGAGUAACACGUGAGUAACCUGCCCUUGACUUUGGGAUAACUUCAGGAAACUGGGGAUAAUACCGGAUAGGAGCUCCUGCUGCAUGGGGGGGGUUGGAAAGUUUCGGCGGUUGGGGAUGGACUCGCGGCUUAUCAGCUUGUUGGUGGGGUAGUGGCUUACCAAGGCUUUGACGGGUAGCCGGCCUGAGAGGGUGACCGGCCACAUUGGGACUGAGAUACGGCCCAGACUCCUACGGGAGGCAGCAGUGGGGAAUAUUGCACAAUGGGCGGAAGCCUGAUGCAGCGACGCCGCGUGCGGGAUGACGUCCUUCGGGUUGUAAACCGCUUUCGCCUGUGACGAAGCGUGAGUGACGGUAAUGGGUAAAGAAGCACCGGCUAACUACGUG